UUGAAGAAGAGAGAGAGCUAUAACCAUUAUGGACAAUUAGUGUCUCUCCUUUGCCCUGUGCCUAUUCUUCAUGAUGCCCUCUGUACAUUGCUCACAGAAU
This 100-nucleotide microRNA precursor is filed under the name Sorex araneus (European shrew). RNAcentral describes it as "miRNA (ENSSARG00000019002.1)". Lineage: Eukaryota; Metazoa; Chordata; Mammalia; Eulipotyphla; Soricidae. The record is from RNAcentral.